RNAcentral lists this ribosomal RNA (546 nucleotides) under uncultured bacterium. Its description in RNAcentral is "bacterial SSU rRNA". It matches the Rfam family "Bacterial small subunit ribosomal RNA", at positions 356 to 896 of the family's 1533-position model. The record is from RNAcentral.
GGGGAAUAUUGCGCAAUGGGGGGAACCCUGACGCAGCCAUGCCGCGUGAAUGAAGAAGGCCUUCGGGUUGUAAAGUUCUUUCGGUAUUGAGGAAGGUUGAUGUGUUAAUAGCACAUCAAAUUGACGUUAAAUACAGAAGAAGCACCGGCUAACUCCGUGCCAGCAGCCGCGGUAAUACGGAAGGUGCGAGCGUUAAUCGGAAUAACUGGGCGUAAAGGGCACGCAGGCGGUUAUUUAAGUGAGGUGUGAAAGCCCUGGGCUUAACCUAGGAAUUGCAUUUCAGACUGGGUAACUAGAGUACUUUAGGGAGGGGUAGAAUUCCACGUGUAGCGGUGAAAUGCGUAGAGAUGUGGAGGAAUACCGAAGGCGAAGGCAGCCCCUUGGGAAUGUACUGACGCUCAUGUGCGAAAGCGUGGGGAGCAAACAGGAUUAGAUACCCUGGUAGUCCACGCUGUAAACGCUGUCGAUUUGGGGGUUGGGGUUUAACUCUGGCGCCCGUAGCUAACGUGAUAAAUCGACCGCCUGGGGAGUACGGCCGCAAGGUUA